RNAcentral lists this ribosomal RNA (292 nucleotides) under uncultured prokaryote. RNAcentral's name for it is "partial 16S ribosomal RNA". It matches the Rfam family "Bacterial small subunit ribosomal RNA", at positions 505 to 796 of the family's 1533-position model. The record is from RNAcentral.
GUGCAAUCCGCCGCGGUAAUACGUAGGUGGCAAGCUUUGUCCGGAUUUAUUGGGCGUAAAGCGAGCGCAGGCGGCUUCUUAAGUCUGAUGUGAAAGCCCCCGGCUCGACCGGGGAGGGUCAUUGGAGACUGGGAGACUUGAGUGCAGAAGAGGAGAGUGGAAUUCCAUGUGUAGCGGUGAAAUGCGUAGAUAUAUGGAGGAACACCAGUGGCGAAGGCGGCUCUCUGGUCUGUAACUGACGCUGAGGCUCGAAAGCGUGGGGAGCAAACAGGAUUAGAUACCCCAGUAGUCC